GGGCCUUUAGUUCAGUUGGCUAGAACGCUUCCAUGGCACGGAAGAGGUCAAGGGUUCAAGUCCCUUAAGGUCCA
RNAcentral lists this transfer RNA (74 nucleotides) under bacterium. Its description in RNAcentral is "tRNA-Ala". It matches the Rfam family "tRNA". From Rfam's summary of the family: Transfer RNA (tRNA) molecules are approximately 80 nucleotides in length. The record is from RNAcentral.